Anolis carolinensis (green anole) is the source of this 833-nucleotide long non-coding RNA. RefSeq lists it as uncharacterized. The record is from RefSeq and is a predicted model, not a curated record. Lineage: Eukaryota; Metazoa; Chordata; Lepidosauria; Squamata; Anolidae. The transcript has 2 exons.
CAUCCCAGGAGGGUAGGAGCUAGGGGCAGCCCAUGUAUAUUCAAUGUUUUUCCCUGGCAAAAUAUUUACCUGCUAAAAUGUCACCUUCUUCUUUGAUCUGCAGCCCACAGAGAGUAUGAGUCUGCUUCUCUGUAGUCAAAGCUAGAUGUGCCGUCAAGGGAGGACUCCAGCCUGCCUCGCUCCUGAGGAGACCAAGGGCGCCAGACCUGUUCUGCCCAUUCACAUAGCCUGGCUUAUCUUAGGAAAAAAGUGUCUCUGUGAUAAGUCUUUCAAUGGUUAAUGAUUAUAUGCCACUUCCUAGAUUGGAAACACUACACUCUUAGUAUUAAUUAUGGGGAGCAUGAGUGUGUUUUUGUCUGCUAUUGGGCUUAGGGAUGUGAAGGUCCAGAAAAAAUGUGGGGAAAUGCAAGGGCCCUGAAGCUAAUGGGAUCAUCUGAUUUUGGAAGCUAAAAAGGGUCCGGUGUGUUUAGGUGUUGUAUGAUGGACCACCAAAGAAUAUCACAUCCUAAAAGCUAUAUAUCAGGAAAAAGGCAAUGGCUAGCAAACCACUUCUGAAGCUUCUUUGCCUAAGAAGACAGUACGCAGUUAAUCAGGUCAACAUAUGUCAAGAGGAAUCUUUCUCUCUGCCAUCUAUGCCAAUCAACAAGAAUUGUUUAUCAAGUUAAUCCCAGCUUGAAGGUGAUGCACUCCCUUGUCGCAGAAAGGGAUGCUGUGAAUAGAGGAGAUGUAUUCCAGAAUUUCUCCAAUAAAAACUUUAACACCACGAUAACAUGCACCAAUUAGAAACUGCAAACGUUUGAACCAAUAAAACUGCAAAUCAUCAUUUGUACCAA